GUGGCGUAAAUGGAAUUUCUCAUAUGUAAGGCUUUCCUUCCUUGUUGUGGUUCUGCUGCAGAUGCAACUUACACUCACUGCACUGAUGUAAUCUGGAAGCUAACUCAAUGGACUAACCAGAAUGAGGAGUGUAAAAUAGGGUGGACUAGGAAUUGUCCUGAGGCAGCUGUAUCUCAACUUCAUGCUCUGUAAAUUGCACCAAUUUUUUAACGAUUGUGGAUCCAGAAGUCUGAACAGGCACUAUUCGCAUCAUCCGGAGACUGAUUCAGAUGGGCGUGAGUGACAGUGACAGCAAUCAGUUACAGAUCCUUUAAAAAUAGUUCAUGGAUGUUGAUGAGAACCAGUAGCCUGUUCAGAAGGAGCCAUGAAAGAAAUAGAAGAGGGCAGCUGUAUUCUGUACAGUGAUUUUUUGUUCAUCAGAAGAUGAUCUGGAAAUCAGGAUAUGCACCCUAGCUGAAGGUGGCUAAAAUCCCAGAUUUAUGGAGCAAAGGGGCUGCAGGGAUGGCCUUUGUAAGCAGAGCCCAGUAUCUGUCCCAUAUCAGAUCAAAUCCAGCUUCAGCUGCUUCAACGGGGACUUACUGCUGCCAGAGAUGAGACAGACAAGAGUGAUGCUGAUCGUUCCUCUGUGAGAGCAGAUGGAAGAAAGGAAAAACUGCUGCAUGACAGCCACUGGGAGAGGAGUGAGGACACAUGAGAGAAGCAGCCUGCACCCACUAAGUUCCUUUAUGCUGCUACAGCUUUGAAUGACCUCAGACCCAAUGAUGUUCUGUGCUAGAAGUAACUUCCUCCAGUCUUAUAAGUGGCACCUGCAUUUACUCAAAAGGAAACACGGCUUCAGAAUUUCAUAUGCAGAUAACGUACUCACAAACUCUAACAUAGACAAACAGUGAAGCUGAAUGAAUCCCUCACUCUGUAUCACAGCAUCUGGCUUCUGACAUCUCUGUGCCUUGAUGUCCAUCAGAACUGAAGAUCUGCAGGGACUCUCAGCAAUGCUCCUUCCCAGGGAAUAUGAGAUGGAACCCAGCAUGCUUGUACUGCUGUGCACCAGUUCUGUCACCUCGUUUACAGGUGUGCAAGCAAAGCUCGCCUUAGUGACACGACACAGUGUGACAUACUGAUGGUGUUGGGGUCAGCGGGAGUUGGAAAGCACUCAGCACCUAGCAGGGAGUGAGCAAUCAUCACCCUGAAGUCUUGAAGUAUGCAACUCUUGCCACCUAUUCCUGCCUGGGAGGUCAACCUAAAUUUUUAGAAGUGGGGGUUGUGCAGAGAGGUAGACAGAUGUGUACAGCAAGUCUGAAUGAGUUGGUGGCGCUGCCCCUGCGCUCUGUCUUCUGCAUCCAUGGUUCAUGCUAGCAUUGGGAAAUUCUGCAAGUCUGGUGGAUGUGGUCAAAAAAGACAAAUUACAGGAGAGGAUAAUUUUGCCUGCAGUUAUGGAAGGCCAGAUUUACUCUUGUUGUUUUGGCUCUGUGGGAUGCCACAUUGUUUCAUAUAACAUGUUAGAGUGUUUUAUUGUAUCCCUCUCUCAUGCUGCGCUCAU
Molecule: long non-coding RNA, 1537 nt
Organism: Centrocercus urophasianus (Greater sage-grouse)
Lineage: Eukaryota; Metazoa; Chordata; Aves; Galliformes; Phasianidae
Exons: 6
Source: RefSeq, a predicted model, not a curated record